UAAGAAAUGACUUCCGGUCACGUGSUAAUUUUUCUUGACAAUGGUGACGUCAUACACAGCACGGCCUCUUUCCACCGCCAUUCCUGACAAGUGAAGGAUUAAUAAUUCAAUCUAUCUUAAUCAGGUCCAUCCCGAUUGAAUCUGCAAGUCACAAUUUCAGACUCCGACCGACUACGUUUUCUGAAAUGGAUGUAUGAGUAAUAAACAGUCUUAUACCUGGCUCUUCGUUAAUGACAAGAUGGGACGUCGAAGCCAUAUUCUUAAAGGAAUGGAGAAUCAAUUACGAACUCGAUUCACCAACAAACCUUGGACGCUUGAAUGAGUCAGCUUGUCAUCUAGAACUGACACCGAAUAUAGUUGGUUCAAACAGAUAAACCGUGCCGCGAUCGUAGGUUCAUUGUAAUUGGAUAAACCACAUUUCCGCGCAGCUAUCAUUGGUUCAAGUCAGGGGAGGAGUGAAGCCUAUCCCAGAAUGCAUUGCGUUUUAUAGUUAGACGCGCCUUAAGUACUGCUACGUGACAAUAUUUGCAAGCAUCCUAUUGGUUGAUAUAAGAUACGCGGAUUUAAUUACCAGAUCUAACAAAAGUAUAAUGUCAGCAAAAAAAAGUCUAAUGUCAGCGUUACUGUUCAGACUAGUUCUUGAUAUUCAAGAAUGUUUAUUGUUUAACAGAUCAAAAACAGUUUUCCGUAUUUGAUACUCUGAUCAAAACACGCGGGAUGUUGAGAGAACACGAGAGAAGCGUAGGAAACCACGACGCGUAGCGGAGUGGUUCCCAGCUUCUCGAGUGUUCUCCCAACAUUCCAUAAAAUCAACAUGUGAGUUGAGUUUGUUUGAUGUGUUGUUCUCUCCUUUCCUACCAGGGUUUGUCUACAGCAGGUUCUCUGCUGGUUUUUCACCGUCCGUAAAAAUCAAAAUUUGGGAAUUAAAGAGAGUUGUACGAACAGAAUUUUGAAUGUAGUGGUAGUGGUGUUAGUGAACCUGGGCCAAAUUAAUGGGGAGCUAGUAUUCAUACAAAAUUUUUAUACCCAAUAUCAAUAGCAAACAAUAAUUAAAUGUAGCUAGUGCUUUUUAGUUCAACUUUUGUUUAAGAAUUUUUUUAGAGACGGAUAGCGAUUCCAACGUACUGUAAAUGGGAGUUCCCACAAACAAUUUCGAGAUUAAUAAUAGCUGAAGACGCGGAAAUUGAAUGACCUUUCGAAUCAUCUAGGAAUUCGGUAAUUCCCCUGGUAUUAGAAAGCAAAAAAAAAAAAAAAAAAAGGAUUAUAAUGACCUUUCAAUCGCGAAUCUUAUCUAGGGUCUGGGGUAGGGUAUCAUUUUUUGGCAUUUUGUCUGGGAUAGGGUGUCCUUUUUGUCUGGGAUAGGGUUACGAUUUGGUCGUUUUUGUCUGGCGAAUAGACUACGCUUUCUGACGGCACGAAAACAAUAAAAACGUUAGUAAAUAUU
Molecule: long non-coding RNA, 1444 nt
Organism: Actinia tenebrosa (Australian red waratah sea anemone)
Lineage: Eukaryota; Metazoa; Cnidaria; Anthozoa; Actiniaria; Actiniidae
Source: RefSeq, a predicted model, not a curated record